This 258-nucleotide long non-coding RNA is filed under the name Nicotiana benthamiana. Its description in RNAcentral is "long non-coding RNA (NBEN_LNC024088)". Lineage: Eukaryota; Viridiplantae; Streptophyta; Magnoliopsida; Solanales; Solanaceae. The record is from RNAcentral.
AUAAUCGAUUAUUCACUGACCGUUGCCAAAGUAUCUUUAAACGCUGAAAGAUAAUCAAUUAUGCACAAGGCAAUAAUCGAUUAUGCUAGCUUAAAAUCUGCAUAUGAUUUUUGAACGAUUUGCAGAUAAUCGAUUACGCAAAUCAGAUAAUCGAUUAUUCUAGCAUAAAAUCAGCAAUUAGUGAUUGGCAAUUAAGCAACGGUCUUUGGGUCUUUGAGGACUAUUAAUACACCUCAAAACCACUCUUUUAAGUACAAC